Molecule: non-coding RNA, 55 nt
Filed under: unclassified sequences
Description: Li+-I sequence
Rfam family: nhaA-I RNA
About the family: Acidobacteria, Alphaproteobacteria, Betaproteobacteria and Gammaproteobacteria, Verrucomicrobia, cand. division NC10.
Source: Rfam by way of RNAcentral
GGGUGCGAUUGAACUGACUCAGUCGCAGGUAUUGCGAAUAGUCGGGCCGCUAUUC